AGUGAACGCUGGCGGUAGGCCUAACACAUGCAAGUCGAACGGCAGCACAGUAAGAGCUUGCUCUUACGGGUGGCGAGUGGCGGACGGGUGAGGAAUACAUCGGACUCUACUUUUUCGUGGGGGAUAACGUAGGGAAACUUACGCUAAUACCGCAUACGACCUACGGGUGAAAGCAGGGGAUCUUCGGACCUUGCGCGAUUGAAUGAGCCGAUGUCGGAUUAGCUAGUUGGCGGGGUAAAGGCCCACCAAGGCGACGAUCCGUAGCUGGUCUGAGAGGAUGAUCAGCCACACUGGAACUGAGACACGGUCCAGACUCCUACGGGAGGCAGCAGUGGGGAAUAUUGGACAAUGGACGCAAGCCUGAUCCAGCCAUACCGCGUGGGUGAAGAAGGCCUUCGGGUUGUAAAGCCCUUUUGUUGGGAAAGAAAAGCAGCAGGUUAAUACCCCGCUGUUCUGACGGUACCCAAAGAAUAAGCACCGGCUAACUUCGUG
This 492-nucleotide ribosomal RNA is filed under the name uncultured bacterium. RNAcentral's name for it is "partial 16S ribosomal RNA". It matches the Rfam family "Bacterial small subunit ribosomal RNA", at positions 29 to 507 of the family's 1533-position model. The record is from RNAcentral.